Long non-coding RNA from Choloepus didactylus (southern two-toed sloth), 1560 nucleotides. RefSeq lists it as uncharacterized. Lineage: Eukaryota; Metazoa; Chordata; Mammalia; Pilosa; Megalonychidae. The transcript is spliced from 2 exons. The record is from RefSeq and is a predicted model, not a curated record.
UCCACCAAACUAAAAAGAAUUGCUUUUUCUCCCUUCAGAACCUUAAUUAGGACAAAUCCAUUACUGGUCUUACUGUUGAACUUUAUUAAUCAGAUGUGGAGAGCUUUGAUCUAGUUCUCCUGGUGGAUAUGUUUAUGGUUUCCUGGAAGAUUUAUCUGUCUGCAGGGUGAGUAAAAAUAGUGGGAUCAAGCAGUGGUAUGUAACUUUAAGAGCAACAGCCUUCAAUUCUACCUACCUCCCAUCCCCUCUCAAAAGUUGUAGAUUUACUAACUUAUAUUUAUUAGUUUAGGGUAACAGUCAGCAAAAGCUCAGGCAGGAUGAACAGUAAUGCUGUUUUGGACCAUGGAAAUAGCCCUGAACUGGAUGUCAGAUGGAUAUUCUAGCCUUGAUUUCAUCACCAAAUGUGAGACCACAGACAACUCAUUUAAUUUUCAUGACCCUCUGUGUUCUCAUCUGGAAAAUGGGAGGCUCUCAGACUUCAGACGCUAAUCCCAAGUAGAGUCACCGAGCCCGAAGACAUCCAUUGCUUAUGACAAACAGAAAGCUGAAUCACGCUCCUGCUGAAGCUCUAUAGAGAUUUGUUCUCUCAGAAAAAUACUUUUGUGGCCAGAUGCUUUAAGUUGCUGUGAUGCAGAUAUGGGUAAUAUACAAAAGGAUCCAUGAAUUUUCUCUGCAUUCCGUCUGUAACAUCCAGAGCUACAGUGGUGGCCGUGAACUGCUGAACCACUGUUCUCUCUUCUGUGAACUGAGGAGGCCUAGACUUUCACCCAGAGUCUUGUGAGUACGUAAGUGGGUUACAUAUGUGAAAAUACUUUCUGCACCUAAGGAGUUGUACACAUCUUGAAAGGCUGAAGGGACUGAGCACAAUGGGAGCAAGGCUUGUUCAUUCCAGCAUUUAGCAAUGUCAGUCCACCCCUUUAUAAUUACAUAUUCAUUUUCCACCAUGACAAGUUGAUUCCGGCUUCCAAGUUAACAGAAAAGUCAACAGGUUUUCCUUUUCUUCCUGUUUUCUCCUAUUACAUUCCCCUGGGCUUGGUUGGCACAUAUUUCAUGAUGAAAUUUUGAUCACGGUGGCAGUAAUACCAAGGUAGAAUCAUGGAAUCAAACAGCCUAGUGAACCUCACAUUUCCCAAGGAUUAGGGUCUCCUCUCUUUAGCAUGAAAAUAUUUUGAAAACCAUCUCACACUUUACUCCAAAAUAAAUGUCAAAGGCUUAGUGUAUUUGAUAUGAAAACAAGAAAAAAAGGAGAAAAAGUGCAAUAAACAAUAUAGUUGAAUAUUGAUUUAGCUUUGGGGGCGGAAAGGACAUUAUAAGCAUGAAGCCAAGGAUGUUAUUUAUAAAAACACCUGUGGCUAGAUAGAGCAGUAGAAAACUUUUGUUUAAAAACAAACUUAAAGAGAAUAAAGGCAGUUGAGGAAAAAGGAAAAAAAACUAUUUGUAACAAAAGCUAGUCAGUGACAAUAUCUUAAUAUGUAAAAAGACUCUUAGAAAACCAAUGAAAAGCAAGGCUGUUUGCCAAGGCAGAAAUAUAAAUGAGACCAAAAAAAAAAAAAAAAAAAA